UACGUAGGGUGCGAGCGUUAAUCGGAAUUACUGGGCGUAAAGCGUGCGCAGGCUGUUCUGUAAGUCAGAUGUGAAAUCCCCGAGCUCAACUUGGGAACUGCGUUUGAAACUACAGGACUAGAAUAUGUCAGAGGGGGGUAGAAUUCCACGUGUAGCAGUGAAAUGCGUAGAUAUGUGGAGGAACACCGAUGGCGAAGGCAGCCCCCUGGGUCAAGAUUGACGCUCAUGCACGAAAGCGUGGGGAGCAAACAGG
This 253-nucleotide ribosomal RNA is filed under the name uncultured bacterium. Its description in RNAcentral is "partial 16S ribosomal RNA". It matches the Rfam family "Bacterial small subunit ribosomal RNA", at positions 524 to 776 of the family's 1533-position model. The record is from RNAcentral.